CUACAUGCAAGUCGAGCGGACAGAUGGGAGCUUGCUCCCUGAUGUUAGCGGCGGACGGGUGAGUAACACGUGGGUAACCUGCCUGUAAGACUGGGAUAACUCCGGGAAACCGGGGCUAAUACCGGAUGGUUGUUUGAACCGCAUGGUUCAAACAUAAAAGGUGGCUUCGGCUACCACUUACAGAUGGACCCGCGGCGCAUUAGCUAGUUGGUGAGGUAACGGCUCACCAAGGCGACGAUGCGUAGCCGACCUGAGAGGGUGAUCGGCCACACUGGGACUGAGACACGGCCCAGACUCCUACGGGAGGCAGCAGUAGGGAAUCUUCCGCAAUGGACGAAAGUCUGACGGAGCAACGCCGCGUGAGUGAUGAAGGUUUUCGGAUCGUAAAGCUCUGUUGUUAGGGAAGAACAAGUACCGUUCGAAUAGGGCGGUACCUUGACGGAACCUAACCAGAAAGCCACGGCUAACUACGUGCCAGCAGCCGCGGUAAUACGUAGGUGGCAAGCGUUGUCCGGAAUUAUUGGGCGUAAAGGGCUCGCAGGCGGUUUCUUAAGUCUGAUGUGAAAGCCCCCGGCUCAACCGGGGAGGGUCAUUGGAAACUGGGGAACUUGAGUGCAGAAGAGGAGAGUGGAAUUCCACGUGUAGCGGUGAAAUGCGUAGAGAUGUGGAGGAACACCAGUGGCGAAGGCGACUCUCUGGUCUGUAACUGACGCUGAGGAGCGAAAGCGUGGGGAGCGAACAGGAUUAGAUACCCUGGUAGUCCACGCCGUAAACGAUGAGUGCUAAGUGUUAGGGGCUUUCCGCCCCUUAGUGCUGCAGCUAACGCAUUAAGCACUCCCCUGGGGGAGUACGGUCGCAAGACUGAAACUCAAAGGAAUUGACGGGGGCCCGCACAAGCGGUGGAGCAUGUGGUUUAAUUCGAAGCAACGCGAAGAACCUUACCAGGUCUUGACAUCCUCUAACAAUCCUAGAGAUAGGACGUCCCCUUCGGGGGCAGAGUGACAGGUGGUGCAUGGUGUCGUUCAGCUCGUGUCGUGAGAUGUUGGGUUAAGUCCCGCAACGAGCGCAACCCUUGAUCUUAGUUGCCAGCAUUCAGGUGGGCAAUUUAAGGGGGAUGCCGGUGGCAAACCGGAGGAAGGGGGGGAUGACGUCAAAUCAUCAUGCCCCUUAUGACCUGGGCUACACACGUGCUACAAUGUGAGCAGUAACAAAGGGCAGCGAAACCGCGAGGUUAAACCAAUCCCACAAAUCUGUUGUUCAUAUUCGGAGAUGCAGGUUUGUCACA
Molecule: ribosomal RNA, 1285 nt
Filed under: Bacillus tequilensis
Lineage: Bacteria; Bacillati; Bacillota; Bacilli; Caryophanales; Bacillaceae
Description: bacterial SSU rRNA
Rfam family: Bacterial small subunit ribosomal RNA
Source: RNAcentral